CAUUUUCCUUACCACCACUUUCCUACAAAAACAUAUUUUUGACUUUUUUUUUAAAGGAGAGACAGUACAACUGUAUGUGGCAAUAAAGUGUGGGAAAAUACGACCCCAUCAUUUCUUACUCCACUUUCAUUCUCUCUUAUACAGGAUUGCCAUGAGACCUAAUACACUUACUAUUCCCAGGACAAGCUGCCAGUUUGCACCUGUAUUGUGACCUGCAUUGGUAUCAGUGGAAGCCACAGGAAGGACAUGAAAGUUUUUAAUCCUGAGAGCCCCUGCUUUCAAAGAAGAUGAAGAGAAGGAAGAAGAGAGAGAAACAAAAAGCAGCCCAAUGCAAUUUAUCCUAGCUCUGCCGGACACUGUGAAGAAAAAACAGCUAUCAUGGAAUAUGUAAAUCUCCACUCCAACUUUUGAAAGUCUUCUUCAGCUACCACUUUGGCUUUUGUGGUUCAAGCAGACAUGGUCACACAUUAUCAACCACAAGGUCUAGAAACUUGCUUUUUGAAAAAAAUGAAAGUGAAGAAACUACAUUUUUUUCUACAUUCCUGCAGGAUUGCGGUCUGCCUAUUAUUUUUAAUUUUUACUAUGUUGGAUCAUCUGCCACACCAUGAAAAAACCAUGAAAAGAAUCAGAGACAUGACAUAACAACUACAAGACCAGAAGCAGAGGUGAAGGGAGAAAAUUGAGAAGUAACACAAGAUUUAAGGAACAUGAAGACUUCAACCUUACCACCCCUAGCAUUCUGUUGGUUCUAGUAAGGAGCUGCAUUUUCCAGCCUGAUUGCCUCUUCUUGCAUCAUGCAGCCUCAAAACCAACAUGCUUUCAUCCAGAAGAAGUGGCUUCUUUCUCAGUGCCUGGGAACAGCUGAUAUGAGAAAAAGUUUGGAUUUGGAAAAUACAGAAUGGAGUGCAUUGCAUUUGGCAAGCAACACACCACUAUACUUCUAGAUGUGGAAAUUAAAGAUCUUGAUAAAAUCUCUGAAAGCAGUGCUUGGAAACAACCCAAACAUGAUAGAAGGAUCUCAAUUUGAUUUCAAGAUUGCAAGGAGCAUUGUGAAAGCCUUCCAGUCACUCUACCAUCUCACAGUUCUUUUGAAUCUUAGGCUUGUUUCUUCAGCACCAAAGCAAGCGCCAACAGCGGUCUCUCAUGGGGCUUAACAGAAGGUUGGGAGCUGCCAGAGGGAGAAGGCUUUUGAAGGACUAGAAAAUAGCCUCAUCCGAAAAGGGAUAUAUUAUACAUCUGUACUUGUGCCAAAACUGCUGAGAACCAAACCUGUUUCUGUUUGUCAUCUAUCCCAACUUCAAUUUGUGAUGGCACUAUGAAUGGGAGAUCUCCAAGAAACCCUGAUCAUCAACUAUCCAUCUCAGGUCUUGAAAACUCAAGGCCUUUGUUGAAUCUAGCCACGUGUGAUGCCAUCUUCCCUCUUGGCUUACUGCCUUCCAAUUUGGAGUGUUAUAUCAGCAAAAGGGUUUUAAGUAUCAGACAAAGAUGAAGAUGUAGUAAUCUUCAAGAAGGAACAAGGCUCACUGGAUAUAUAUACAUAUUUACACACACGUCCCUCACCACACCUUAUACACAGAGAAAUCAACAACUGAAAACCAAGUUUACGAACAAAAAUUUCUGCAUGAUUCCUAGCUUUCUAUAUUGAGGAGUAAGUAUUUUACUAUACAAAUCUCCUUCUAUAGUUUGGAUGAUACAGCCCCAAUAUUGGGGGGGGGGGGCACAAUCUUGUAAAAUAAAUCAGUGUUUAUACAGAGCACAAAAAGCUACUUAGAGGAUUGUAUGUACAAUUUUGGGACUAUAAUUCCCAUAGAUAGUGGAGGAAGUUUGGAAGUUCUGGCACAAAAAGGUAACUUUGCCAACCUCUGAUUUAUAACAUUAAACAUCUCUGUGUCUGUUAUUUUGUGGGAAGGGGGUUCUUCUAAAGAUCAUUCAGUUCUGAAGAUGACAUAUAGAUGGAAUAAAAUACACUGACAUCAACAUGUAAAUGCUGUAAUCCUGGGGUGUAAUUUCUUUUUUUAAAAAUGCAUCUUUCUCUCUGAUGUGCAAUGAGAUACGUGGGCCAGAUGUAAGUACAGUUUAAAUAAAUUGGAAAAUGUGUUUGAAUAAAGAGGAUAAAAGUA
Anolis carolinensis (green anole) is the source of this 2120-nucleotide long non-coding RNA. RefSeq lists it as uncharacterized. NCBI's taxonomy places the organism in Eukaryota, Metazoa, Chordata, Lepidosauria, Squamata, Anolidae. The record is from RefSeq and is a predicted model, not a curated record. The transcript has 10 exons.